Molecule: transfer RNA, 64 nt
Filed under: Vorticeros sp. n. MW-2019
Lineage: Eukaryota; Metazoa; Platyhelminthes; Prolecithophora; Plagiostomidae
Description: tRNA-Thr
Source: RNAcentral
UCUUUUAUAGUUUAAAAAAAAAUGUAAAUUUUGUAAAUUUAUGAUGCUUGUUGUGCUGAAAGAA